This 352-nucleotide ribosomal RNA is filed under the name uncultured bacterium. RNAcentral's name for it is "bacterial SSU rRNA". It matches the Rfam family "Bacterial small subunit ribosomal RNA", at positions 30 to 313 of the family's 1533-position model. The record is from RNAcentral.
AUUGAACGCUGGCGGCAUGCCUUACACAUGCAAGUCGAACGGCAGCACGGGGGCAACCCUGGUGGCGAGUGGCGAACGGGUGAGUAAUGCAUCGGAACGUGCCCAGUAGUGGGGGAUAACUAGUCGAAAGAUUAGCUAAUACCGCAUACGACCUACGGGUGAAAGCGGGGAUGCAGCACUUAAUGCUUUGGGAUGGCUACUUGUGGCCGCCUCGGGACAGUCUCAGGUUGAGAACAUUAAGUGCUGCACCUCGCGCUAUUGGAGCGGCCGAUGUCUGAUUAGCUAGUUGGCGGGGUAAAAGCCCACCAAGGGCGACGAUCAGUAGCUGGUCUGAGAGGACGACCAGCCACAC